This 244-nucleotide ribosomal RNA is filed under the name uncultured Staphylococcus sp. RNAcentral's name for it is "partial 16S ribosomal RNA". It matches the Rfam family "Bacterial small subunit ribosomal RNA", at positions 96 to 334 of the family's 1533-position model. Lineage: Bacteria; Bacillati; Bacillota; Bacilli; Caryophanales; Staphylococcaceae. The record is from RNAcentral.
CGGCGGACGGGUGAGUAACACGUGGAUAACCUACCUAUAAGACUGGGAUAACUUCGGGAAACCGGAGCUAAUACCGGAUAAUAUAUUGAACCGCAUGGUUCAAUAGUGAAAGACGGUUUUGCUGUCACUUAUAGAUGGAUCCGCGCCGCAUUAGCUAGUUGGUAAGGUAACGGCUUACCAAAGCAACGAUGCGUAGCCGACCUGAGAGGGUGAUCGGCCACACUGGAACUGAGACACGGUCCAA